Molecule: ribosomal RNA, 2923 nt
Filed under: fermentation metagenome
Description: bacterial LSU rRNA
Rfam family: Bacterial large subunit ribosomal RNA
Source: RNAcentral
AGGGCACAUGAUGAAUGUCUUGGCGUUGACAGGCUAAGAAGGACGUGGCAAGCUGCGAAAAGCUUCGGGGAGUCGCACACAGACUUUGAUCCGGAGAUAUCCGAAUGGGGAAACCCGGCACCGGUAAUGCGGUGUCACCAGUCACUGAAUACAUAGGUGGCUGGAGCAAUACGUAGGGAAGUGAAACAUCUCAGUACCUACAGGAAAAGAAAUCAACAGAUAUUCCGCUAGUAGUGGCGAGCGAACGCGGAACAGCCUAAACCGUCCGGUUUACCGGGCGGGGUUGCGGGACUCUUACACGGUACGGUAAAUUGUUAGUAGAACGCUUUGGAAAGAGCGGCCAUAGAGGGUGACAGCCCCGUAAACGAAAACGAUUUCCGGCUAUAGAGUAUCCCAAGUAGGGCGGUGCACGUGAAACUCCGUCUGAAUCAGGGGAGACCACUCUCCAAGGCUAAAUACUAGUCAACGACCGAUAGUGAACAAGUACCAUGAGGGAAAGAUGAAAAAGAACCCCGGGAGGGGAGUUAAAAGAACCUGAAAUCAUGUGUCUAUAAAGUGUGGGAGCGAAAGCGACCGCAUGCCUUUUGCAUAAUGAGUCUGCGAGUUACUCUAUACAGCAAGGUUAAGCCAUGGGCGUAGCCGAAGCGAAAGCGAGUGUUAAUAGCGCGUAUAGUUGUAUGGAGUAGACCCGAAACUGGGUGAUCUAUCCAUGGCCAGGUUGAACCUCCGGUAACACGGAGUGGAGGACCGAACCAUUACAUGCUGAAAAAUGUUUGGAUGAGCUGUGGAUAGGGGUGAAAGACCAAUCAAACCCAGUGAUAGCUGGUUCUCUUCGAAAUAGCUUGAGGGCUAGCCUCGUGUUUAAUUAGUGCGUGGGGGUAGAGCACUGAAUGUUAGCGGGCCCAUACCAGGGUACCAAAAACUAUCAAACUCCGAAUACCACGUACCAUAUCACGGGAGUCAGACUGUGGGGGAUAAGCUUCAUAGUCGAGAGGGCAACAGCCCAGACCGCCGGCUAAGGUCCCUAAUUUAAACUGAGUGGAAAUAAGGAUGUGGAGUUGCGUAAACAACCAGGAUGUUGGCUUAGAGGCAGCCAUCAUUUAAAGAGUGCGUAAUAGCUCACUGGUCUAGUGAUUCCGCGCCGAAGAUGAUCGGGACUAAGUUUAAAACCGAAGCCGCGGAUUCUCACUUAGGUGAGAAUGGUAGAAGAGCGUUGUGUAUGGAUAGAAGCCGAUAAGUGAUUGGAGGUGGACUAUACACAAGUGACCAUGCAGACAUGAGUAGCGAAAAACCGGAUGAGAAUUCCGGUCACCGAAAACCCAAGGUUUCCUGGGGCAGGUUCGUCCGCCCAGGGUUAGUCGGAUCCUAAGGCGAGGCCGAAAGGCGUAGUCGAUGGACAACAGGUUAAUAUUCCUGUACCACCUUGUUUGAGCGAUGGAGGGACGCAGUAAGCUAAAUGAGCCGGCGAUUGAAAGUGCCGGUCGAAGACCGUAGGGCGUGUUGCAGGCAAAUCCGCAACACAUUAAGCCUGAGAGUCGUAAGAUAGUUCGACGAAAGUCAGACAAAUUCAUUGAUGCUACACUGACGAGAAAAGCUCCUAAGCGUUGAUAACAGGGUGUUCGUACCGUAAACCGACACAGGUAGGUGAGGCGAGAAGCCUAAGGUGCGCGAGAGAAACCACGUUAAGGAACUCGGCAAAUUAACCCCGUAACUUCGGAAGAAGGGGUGCCGCCAUAAGGUGAAGGGACUUGCUCCCGGAGCUGAAGGCGGUUGCAACAAAGAGGCUGGUGCGACUGUUUAACAAAAACACAGCUCUAUGCUAACUCGUAAGAGGAUGUAUAUGGAGUGACACGUGACCAAUGCCAAAAGGUCAAGGUAAGAUGUUAGCCGUAAGGCGAAGCUUCGAACUGAAGCCCUGGUGAAUGUCGGCCGUAACUAUAACGGUCCUAAGGUAGCGAAAUUCCUUGUCGGGUAAGUUCCGACCUGCACGAAUCGUGUAACGAUGCCAGCACUGUCUCAACGUGGAUCUCGGCGAAGUUGUAAUUCCGGUGAAAAUGCCGGAUACCCGCGGUAGGACGGAAAGACCCCAUGAACCUUUACUGUAAUCUGAUAUUGGUAUUUGAAUAUCCAUGUGUAGCAUAGGUGGGAGGCUGUGAAGCAGGAACGCUAGUUUCUGUGGAGCCACAAGUGAAAUACCACCCUUGCAUAGUUGAAUAUCUAACCUUGACCCGUAAUCCGGGCGAGGGACCGUGUCAGAGGGUCAGUUUGACUGGGGCGGUUUCCUCCUAAAUUGUAACGGAGGAGCCCGAAGGUACACUCAACACGGUUGGCAAUCGUGUGCAGAGCGUAAGGGUAUAAGUGUGCUUUACUGUAAGACAGACAUGUCGAGCAGUUGCGAAAGCAGGGCCUAGUGAUCCAGCGAUAGAAUGUGGAAUCGUCGUUGCUCAACGGAUAAAAGGUACUCUGGGGAUAACAGGCUGAUAGCGCCCAAGCGUCCAUAGCGACGGCGCUGUUUGGCACCUCGAUGUCGGCUCAUCACAUCCUGGGGCUGUAGAAGGUCCCAAGGGUCCGGCUGUUCGCCGGUUAAAGUGAUACGCGAGCUGGGUUCAAAACGUCGUGAGACAGUUUGGUCCUUAUCCACCGCGGGCGUAGGAUAUUUGAUGGGAUCAUUCCCUAGUACGAGAGGACCGGGAAUGACUGACCUCUGGUCUUCCUGUUGUUGCGUCAGCAGCAUUGCAGGGUAGCUAAGUCGGGACAGGAUAAGCGCUGAAAGCAUCUAAGCGCCAAGCCCACCCAAAGACGAGAUAUCCCGGGCCUUUAUGGCCCCUGAAGGCAGGUUGAAGACUACGACCUCGAUAGGUUGGAGGUGUAAGCACAGCAAUGUGUUCAGCUUACCAAUACUAAUCAGCCGUGAGGCUUAACC